Long non-coding RNA from Lolium perenne, 1354 nucleotides. RefSeq lists it as uncharacterized. Lineage: Eukaryota; Viridiplantae; Streptophyta; Magnoliopsida; Poales; Poaceae. The record is from RefSeq and is a predicted model, not a curated record.
UUUGUCUUCCUCAGCAGUUUUAUCGAUGCAGAGAGGCGGACGAAGAUAGGGUUCCGCCGCUCCCCGGUCGCCGCUGGCACCUCAGCUCAUCCCGACGCCUUGAGCUCGUCGCGUCCCUGGUUCUUAGUAUUCACCCCCACUCAUCCGGAUGCGCGUCGACCAAUCCCGACCAACUCUGUUGUGGCCACCCCAACCCUUCCCCUCGGCCGCGCCGCCACGGUUUCCAGCCAUAAUGGAUCUGCUGCAGCCACGACGGCACCAUCUACCGGUCGCACUGCCACGAAUCCCCGGCCAUAAUCGAUCUGCUCUUGCCUCUGUUGGACCUGCACGCCACUCUGCUAUCCGACCCGUGCCUCCCCGUUGUGGUCUCCCUCAGUCCCUACGUGGCUGACCCAAGAAGCAAAAGCAGCGCAAGAACAUGGGGAAGAAGGGCAUGUACGGAGGAGGACGAUCUCGCCGCGCAGAAUCGCUGCAAGUAUAGGUCAUGCUCUAAUGCAGCCGCCUCUCGCUCACUGCAGCAUCCUACAUGUCUCUUAUUGUUAUUCAGUGGGACUGCUACUCUAUGAAAUUCUGAUUUUAUGCUUACAUGCCGUUGAAAUUAUGAGUUGUUUUUUACCAAUCUUCGUAUGAUAUUGGUUACAACAAUAUUAAGCUAUUAUUAAUCUGUCUGCCACUCCAUUCAAUCUUUUAUGCAAAAAUCUCAAUGGAUAUGAAUUGCAAAUAAUAUCAUACAAUUUGUCACAUAUGAAGGCUAUAAGGGUUCAUCGUCUACUUGGUUCCGUUCUUUGUUUCAGCGGAUCUCUGAGGCAGAGCAAUGUGGACAACUAGCAGAUGAGAAAGCCGGCUAGCAGAUUGCUUGCAUCUGUUUAUGAACUUUUUCUCCAAGGGCGAGCAAAGGGCAAGAGGAAAAAAAGGGAGACCAUGACUGGCAACGACCUGCUGUGGGCGAUUGCGACACCGAGGUUUGAUGAUUACGAAAUACAGGAGGGAAAAAGGAUCUCUCAACUGGGGAAAUAGGCCCACACUGGUCUAGAUUAAAGGGGAGAACAAGGGCGAAAGGGAACAAUUGGCCAGGAAGUUAUUUGUAAAAAAAUGUUAUUGAGAUAAUGAACGAUGCAUCUUCUAUUAUUCUUCCUAUAAAUGCUCAUGGUGAACCUACCCCUGGCUUUGGCAUUUGUUAGGAAUCGUGACAUUUGAAACUGCGGUAUUGUUUGUUGGAAAAAUUAGAGUGCUUUGGUCUCCAAAGAAAAUGCAUAUUGUUAGUCUGUAAUGGAAACAAAUUCCCACCAGCAAGAUGUAUGCAUGAUUGAGUAAAUAUUAUUUAUAAAUUCGUCUUGACAUGGCUGUUUCUUGA